GAUGAACGCUAGCUACAGGCUUAACACAUGCAAGUCGCGGGGCAGCAUGGGGGUUGCUUGCAAUCCCUGAUGGCGACCGGCGCACGGGUGAGUAACGCGUAUCCAACCUGCCCUUCACCACGGGAUAACCCGGCGAAAGUCGGACUAAUACCGUAUGUUGUCCAUUGACGGCAUCCGAUUUGGACGAAAGGCUUAGCGGUGAGGGAUGGGGAUGCGUCCGAUUAGCUUGACGGCGGGGUAACGGCCCACCGUGGCUACGAUCGGUAGGGGUUCUGAGAGGAAGGUCCCCCACACUGGAACUGCGACACGGUCCAGACUCCUACGGGCGGCAGCAGUGCGGAAUAUUGGUCAAUGGGCGUAAGCCUGAACCAGCCAAGUAGCGUGCAGGAUGACGGCCCUAUGGGUUGUAAACUGCUUUUAUGCGGGGAUAAAGGGACCCACGUGUGGGUUUUUGCUGGUACCGCAUGAAUAAGGACCGGCUAAUUCCGUG
This 490-nucleotide ribosomal RNA is filed under the name uncultured bacterium. RNAcentral describes it as "partial 16S ribosomal RNA". It matches the Rfam family "Bacterial small subunit ribosomal RNA", at positions 28 to 507 of the family's 1533-position model. The record is from RNAcentral.